This is a long non-coding RNA of Homo sapiens (human), 422 nucleotides long. RefSeq lists it as uncharacterized. The transcript is spliced from 4 exons. Lineage: Eukaryota; Metazoa; Chordata; Mammalia; Primates; Hominidae. The record is from RefSeq and is a predicted model, not a curated record.
CUUUCUCUCCUGGGAGAACACAAGGUCCAUGAGAGAAGAGACUUUGUGUCAUUUUGUGCUGAGUCCUCAGUGAUGGGAAAUAAGUUGAUGAGGCUCUGACCCGGUGUGGAGCAUGGAGAGGGAUGGAAGCCAGUUGACCCAUUCCUGAGGCCAGACCUGCAUUGUCCACUGAGUGACAUUAGCUCUACAGCUUGUGGAAGGUCUUCCCAAACUCUGAAACCUGAAAGUUAACAAAGCCUCAGCUGAUACCAGUCAGCUUUGUGAACAAGCAAACCAACCACCGGCUGGGAAGCAUCUAUUGUAUGGCUCCUCAAUUCACAGCGGAAACCAAAUUACAAGAAUACAUGGUGCAAAAAGCAUUCUCCAUGUCAGCAGCCAAAACAACUCAUCUGGGACUUGCAAGUUCCAGCUGCCACGCUCGG